UAUCACCACUAAAUCCUUGACAUCUUGGGACUAAAAAUUACAUAAUAAUACUAUUUUUUUAGUAUGAAAAAUAUUAUCUCUUUAUAGAGUUAAACUCCUAUAUAUGCCUUUAAAAGCAUCAAAUUAUUUGUGCUUGCGAUUUUUUAUCUAUCAGAUCGUAUUAUUAAUAGUGUGUCCCAUUAAGUUUUAUUUACUAGUGUUACAUGAAUAUUGAGACGAUUUGAGGGAUAAAAAAUCGCAAGCAUGUUGAACUUCUGUGCUUUUAAAAUAACAGGAGCUCAACUCCUAUAUUAUAUAUAGAGAGAGAGAGAGAGAAAGAGAGAGCUAUUAUACUAUCGAUAGUACCAAGCGCUUAGUGCUAUAAAGUUUUUCGCCGUUAGAUCUACCCUUUUAACCGUUAGAUAAUAUUAUUCAACCAACAACUCACUCAACUCUAGAGGACCACUAUCAUUCUAAUUGCACAUCUCUAAUUCAUUCAAUGGUAGAAAAUCUAAUAGCAUCAAGUGCUUGAUACUAUUAAUAAUAUAGUAGCCUAUUUCUCUCUCUCUCUCUCUUUAUAUAUAUAUAUAUAUAUAUAUAUAUAUAUAUAUG
RNAcentral lists this long non-coding RNA (591 nucleotides) under Ananas comosus (pineapple). Its description in RNAcentral is "long non-coding RNA (ACOM_LNC025201)". Lineage: Eukaryota; Viridiplantae; Streptophyta; Magnoliopsida; Poales; Bromeliaceae. The record is from RNAcentral.